AAGUCGAGCGGUAACAGAAAGUAGCUUGCUACUUUGCUGACGAGCGGCGGACGGGUGAGUAAUGCCUGGGAAUUUGCCCAUUCGAGGGGGAUAACAGUUGGAAACGACUGCUAAUACCGCAUACGCCCUACGGGGGAAAGGAGGGGACCUUCGGGCCUUCCGCGAAUGGAUAAGCCCAGGUGGGAUUAGCUAGUAGGUGAGGUAAUGGCUCACCUAGGCGACGAUCCCUAGCUGUUCUGAGAGGAUGAUCAGCCACACUGGGACUGAGACACGGCCCAGACUCCUACGGGAGGCAGCAGUGGGGAAUAUUGCACAAUGGGCGAAAGCCUGAUGCAGCCAUGCCGCGUGUGUGAAGAAGGCCUUCGGGUUGUAAAGCACUUUCAGCGAGGAGGAAAGGUUACUGGCUAAUAUCCAGUAGCUGUGACGUUACUCGCAGAAGAAGCACCGGCUAACUCCGUGCCAGC
Molecule: ribosomal RNA, 464 nt
Filed under: bacterium 1611-S5-05-3.2
Lineage: Bacteria
Description: bacterial SSU rRNA
Rfam family: Bacterial small subunit ribosomal RNA
Source: RNAcentral